Molecule: ribosomal RNA, 424 nt
Filed under: Potamonautes sidneyi
Lineage: Eukaryota; Metazoa; Arthropoda; Malacostraca; Decapoda; Potamonautidae
Description: partial large subunit ribosomal RNA
Source: RNAcentral
UUUUUAAUUGAGAUCUUGUAUGAAUGAUUGGACAAGAGAAAUACUGUCUUUGUAUUAAAACUUGAAUUUAACUUUUAAGUGAAAAGGCUUAAAUACACUAAAGGGACGAUAAGACCCUAUAAAACUUUACAUUUAUGUUAAAUUUUAUGGAAUUUGAAGAUUAUAAUUAUUAGAUUUAAUUUUUUGUUAUGUUGGGGAGACAAAAGCUAUAAUUAUAUAUAAUAACUGCUUUUAAGGGAAACAAAAAUAAGUGGAAAGAUUAGAGAUCCUUUAUUAAGAUUAUAAGAUUAAGUUACUUUAGGGAUAACAGCGUUWUUUUUUUUGAGAGUUCAUAUUGAAAAAAAAGAUUGCGACCUCGAUGUUGAAUUAAAAUAUCUUUAUAAUGCAGGUGUUAUAAAAGAAGGUCUGUUCGACCUUUAAUUUU